Molecule: ribosomal RNA, 253 nt
Filed under: uncultured bacterium
Lineage: Bacteria
Description: partial 16S ribosomal RNA
Rfam family: Bacterial small subunit ribosomal RNA
Source: RNAcentral
UACAGAGGGUGCAAACGUUGUUCGGAAUUACUGGGCGUAAAGGGCUCGUAGGCGGCCAACUAAGUCAGACGUGAAAUCCCCAGGCUCAACCUGGGAACUGCGUCUGAUACUGGAUGGCUUGAAUCCGGGAGAGGGAUGCAGAAUUCCAGGUGUAGCGGUGAAAUUCGUAGAUAUCGGGAGGAACACCGGUGGCGAAGGCGGCGACCUGGGUAGAUACUGACGCUGAGGCGCGAAAGCGUGGGGAGCAAACAGG